RNAcentral lists this long non-coding RNA (2184 nucleotides) under Sus scrofa (pig). RNAcentral describes it as "lncRNA (ENSSSCG00000055318.1)". Lineage: Eukaryota; Metazoa; Chordata; Mammalia; Artiodactyla; Suidae. The record is from RNAcentral.
UAUUGAAUAUAUACUCCAGUAUUUUAAAGCAGGCAUCAUUUUAAUCCUGAAAGCAAUCUUAUUAAGAUGAUUGCUGUUAUUAUUAUCUUGAUUUUAUCCAUGAGGAAAUGGAGGCCAAGAGAUGUUAAAUAAAUUGCUCAAGGUCACAGAAUCUUUUAGUUAGAGAAUUGAAACUCGGGACUGGCCUGGAUGCUGCUAAACAAAAUGAUGGAGACAUGGGACAGUCAGGAUUGAUGAAGCUCAAGCAGUGAUGAGGGAAUUUCUUCGCAUUUCCAUAGCACAUGACCAGUUUCUGUCACAAAUGAGUAUUGGCUAGUAAAAUGGGUUGUCUCUGAAUUGUGCACUUUAAAAGGAAGAAUUUUGUAGUAUAUGAAUUACAUUUCAAUGUUUAAAAUAUUUUAGUAAGGGUUGGAAUGUACUGAAUUUUGGACAUUUUAGAGGUUCCAGGAGCUUCCCCUGUCCUUUGUUUAUAAAGACUUUGGUUUACAUUUACAUCAAUUCUUUAACCAUUCCACUUUCCUGAAGCUGCAUAUUGAGCAACAGCCAAGAUUUCCAGACCAAGAUUUCUCUCAUUUAAAUCAUCAACUAUAUGAAAACAAACUUAUGUUUACCAAAAGGGAAAGGGGGAGGAGAAAUAAAUUAGGAGUUUGGGAUUAACAUAUCCACACUACUAUAUAUAAAAGAGAUAAGCUACAAGGAACUACUGUAUUAGCACAGGGAACUAUAUUCAAUAUCUUGUAAUAACCUGUAACAGAAAACCAUCUGAACAAGAGCAUAUAUGUAUAUAUAUAACUGAAUCACUUUGCUGUACACCUAAAACUAACACAACAUUGUAAAUCAUCUAUAAUUUUAAAAAAAUUUUUUAAAAAGUCAUCAACUAUAUGCUACUGACCAGCUUCUAGGUGACGUAAGUCAGAAAAAGACAAAUAUUAUGUUAUCACUUAUAUGUGGAAUUUAAAACAUAAACUAGCAAAUACAACAAUAACAACAAAAAAAAAACAGACUCACAAAUCUAGAGAACAAAUGAGUGGUUAUCAGUGGGGAGAGGGGAGUGGGGAGAGACAAAAUAGCGGUAGGAGAUUAAGAGGUACAACCUACUAUGUAUAAAAUAAAUAAAUGACAAGGAUACCCUGUAUAACAUGGAACAGAGCCAAUAUUUUAUAAUAACUAAAUGGAGGAUAAUCUAUAAAAAAUUUGAAUCUCUAUAUUUUACCCUGGAAACUAAUAUAAUCUUGUAAGUCACAUAUACUUUGAUAAAAAUUUAAAAAACGGUUUUCAUCUUCAUGCAAAAUUUUCCUCCACUUCAAAGUAAAAACCUUUUGUCACAUCCUCAGAGAGUCUUUCCAGCCGCUAAUUUAUCUGGCAAGGAUGGGACACUAUAUUUGGAAGUCUGUUUGCGUUUAGUCAUCUUCUAAAUGAAUUUCAAGGUGCUGUUACGAUUUAAGUAGACAUUUUAUGGUUUAAAGUCUCAUAAUUUGGUAUUUUUUCAUACUCAUGUCCAGAAUCAAGACAGCAGUUUUCAAUCAGAGUGAAGUGCACAUACACACACACACUCAUACAAAAGCAUACACAUACACACUCACACUCGUACAUAUGCAUUUUGUGCACGCACACACACCCUUAUGUAUAUGACUCAUAAAUGGAUGUAUCAAGAGCAGAAAGUUAUUGAGCCAGUAUAUCUUCUGAAAGGAAACUGUUGUGUGUAUGUGUUUAAAGUAUAAGGAAAACCAGUUGCUUUCCUUUAUGUAGACUUAAUCAGGAUGAAAAGAUUUCAAUACAAAGCUGACAGGAGUUUCAAGUGUUCUAUUGGGUAGCUAUACACACAUCUGACAGAUUCUCUCCUGCUUUGCACUUUGAAAUGAGAACAGGAUGCUUCUGGAGGGCAGAGGGGAAAAAGGAGUGAGCAGGUUUGGAAGCAUUUGGGUCCAGAUUUUCUCUUCUUGUCCUUGGUGUAGGAAGUUCUUUCCCUCCUUUUCUAGGUGAUGUCUUCGCCCUGCAUUUCUAUUAUAUUUGCACCUUAAUUUGGAAUCUAGAUUUGUUAUUUCUUUCUUUAGUCAACAUUGUUAUCUACACAAAGCAAAAUACAUUAGGAGUUCCCUGGUGGCUCAGUGGGUUAAGGUUCUGGGGUUGUCACUACUGUGGUAAGGGUUCCAUCUGAUUCCUGGCCUGGGAACUUUCACAUGC